This 1706-nucleotide long non-coding RNA is filed under the name Phoenix dactylifera (date palm). RNAcentral's name for it is "long non-coding RNA (PDAC_LNC006905)". Lineage: Eukaryota; Viridiplantae; Streptophyta; Magnoliopsida; Arecales; Arecaceae. The record is from RNAcentral.
UGAAUAUUUUCUAAUGAUCAAUUAAGGAUUAUGAUAGACUUUUGGGUUAUAAGAGUAGUUGCAGUGCACGAAGUGAGACUUUUAUGUCCAUUCUAUCUACUAGGGAUUAGCAUGAUUAUGCAUCUUUAUAUAUAUAGAAUGGCUGGUCCACUUUGCUUUAUGGUGAUUGUGGCAUACCCAUGGAGUAAGAUGGGAUAGGGUAGAUUAGAAACCCUUGGAGUCUUAUGCUUUUACAUCAUCAUUGACCUUUUCUCAUAUUUAACAGGCUCACUCUUAUUAAGUUGCUGAAUCUGACCCUUGAUAUAGGGGUUGGUUCAUGUGAGAUGGCAUCAAAGUUAUUCGGGUGAUAUAAUGGACUAGGCAUAAUCUCAUCCCUGCAUUAGGGUUUUUUGUGUAGCUAGCUCCUAAGGCUAAUUCUAAAUUGCCUACCACACUUCUAGAAACCCUAACUAGGGUAGCCAACCACAUGCCCAAGGUUUCCUAGGUACAACCCAAAUGGGCCAACUAGGGUUUCCUAUGUUGCCUAGCCCUCCUAAUUAGAAAUAGGAGAAGAGAGAGUGCAGGAAUGUGAAUAGAGGGAGAUAGAGAGGGCCAUAGUAGGGGUGGCUAAGUAAAGGUGCAAAAACCCUAGUGUGCCAUCCAAACAAAAAAGAGACACAAGUAGAGAAGGAAGAAAGGAAGAAAAAGAUGGGGAUAUUUCCAAGUAAUUCUUGGAGAGCCUCCCAAAUGCAAGUACUUCGUAUGGUUCCUAAAGAAGUCUUUAUCCAUCUUCUUUCACCUUAUUGUGUUCUUAUAUCUUCUUUAUAAGUAUUAAUCUCUCUUGUUAUGCAUGUUAUGUGUCUAUAUUAUUGGUGAUUUAUGAAAAACUAAUCCAAUUCAUAAUCUUCUGCUACAUGUUUGACGUUGGAUCAUCCUAAUUCCAUAAGAAUAUCUAUAGAAAAACAAUAUAUAAUGAAUGUAACAUAGGAAGCAUAAAUUAGGAUCAUUUUCUAUCGGGAGAUUUUUUUCUAAGAAUUUGAAAGGAGGUUAGAUAUUGAAACUUUGGAACAAAACUUUAUUUAUGCUUGGGAAUUAAAUAGAUGUUAAGAUUCUAGGAAGAUCCCUAGGUGGAUGAAUUUGAAUUAUACUGGUUGUUUCCUAGUCUACUUCAAUGUCGUAAAAGUUGGAGGCCAUGGCAGACUUACUGUUAACAAGUGAAUAAGGAAAUGGAGUAUCAAGGUCAAUCAUCCACCAACUGAGGGAGCUUGAUAAGAAAGGUAGUCACAAUAUAGUUUUGUGGGAUGAAAGAGAUAACAAGCUCUGCACUACUAAAAUGUAUAGAUUUCUAAUGAUGGUGGAUUGAGAUCACCUAUGGUUAAAAUACUUUGGAAAGCCUCGAUUCUUGAAAAAUUAAAAUAUCCAUACAUAUGGUUAGCAUUCAAUGAUAAAACUCAAUAUUUGAAAGAACUUAAUGAGAGGUUCAAAGUCAUUAGUAAAUUUGCUCUUUGCAAUGCCAAGAUCAAAUCUACCUUUUAUCUCAUGUUCAAGUGCAAUUAUGCUCGAAAGUCUAGGAACCCUUUACUUAAUGUCAAAUGCCAUCUCAUAUCAAUGCUAUUGAUAUGGACUACUUGUAGCCAAAAGAAGGUUUUAAAGCAUGCAAGCUGUUGAGGAUCCCAGGCGUUGACAUUGUACCAGACAAUUGGAAGGAAAGAAAUAAAAGAUUUUCU